RNAcentral lists this ribosomal RNA (406 nucleotides) under uncultured bacterium. RNAcentral describes it as "partial 16S ribosomal RNA". It matches the Rfam family "Bacterial small subunit ribosomal RNA", at positions 29 to 525 of the family's 1533-position model. The record is from RNAcentral.
AUUGAACGCUGGCGGCAGGCCUAACACAUGCAAGUCGAACGAGUGGCGGACGGGUGAGUAAUGUCUGGGAAACUGCCUGAUGGAGGGGGAUAACUACUGGAAACGGUAGCUAAUACCGCAUACCAUCAGAUGUGCCCAGAUGGGAUUGGCUUUGUGGGGGGGUAAAGGCUCACCAAGGCGACGAUCCCUAGCUGGUCUGAGAGGAUGACCAGCCACACUGGAACCGAGACACGGGCCCGACGCCUACGGGGAGCAGGAGGGGGGGAUAUUGGACAAUGGGCGGAAGGCUGAAGCCGCCAUGCCGCGGGUUUGAAGAAGGGCUUCGGGUUUUAAAGUUCCUUUAGCGGGGAGGCGUUACCCGCAGAAGAAGCCCCGGCUUACUCCGUGCCAACCGCCGCGGUAAUUA